AUUGAACGCUGGCGGCAGGCCUAACACAUGCAAGUCGAGCGGUAGAGAGAAGCUUGCUUCUCUUGAGAGCGGCGGACGGGUGAGUAAUGCCUAGGAAUCUGCCUGGUAGUGGGGGAUAACGUUCGGAAACGGACGCUAAUACCGCAUACGUCCUACGGGAGAAAGCAGGGGACCUUCGGGCCUUGCGCUAUCAGAUGAGCCUAGGUCGGAUUAGCUAGUUGGUGGGGUAAUGGCUCACCAAGGCGACGAUCCGUAACUAGUCUGAGAGGAUGAUCAGUCACACUGGAACUGAGACACGGUCCAGACUCCUACGGGAGGCAGCAGUGGGGAAUAUUGGACAAUGGGCGAAAGCCUGAUCCAGCCAUGCCGCGUGUGUGAAGAAGGUCUUCGGAUUGUAAAGCACUUUAAGUUGGGAGGAAGGGCAGUAAAUUAAUACUUUGCUGUUUUGACGUUACCGACAGAAUAAGCACCGGCUAACUCUGUGCCAGCAGCCGCGGUAA
This 500-nucleotide ribosomal RNA is filed under the name uncultured bacterium. Its description in RNAcentral is "partial 16S ribosomal RNA". It matches the Rfam family "Bacterial small subunit ribosomal RNA", at positions 30 to 523 of the family's 1533-position model. The record is from RNAcentral.